RNAcentral lists this transfer RNA (73 nucleotides) under Mycobacterium phage Whirlwind. It matches the Rfam family "tRNA". From Rfam's summary of the family: Transfer RNA (tRNA) molecules are approximately 80 nucleotides in length. The record is from Rfam by way of RNAcentral. Lineage: Duplodnaviria; Heunggongvirae; Uroviricota; Caudoviricetes; Vilmaviridae.
GCGUCGUUAGCUCAGUUGGUAGAGCAGCCGACUCUUAAUCGGCGGGUCGGGGGUUCAAGUCCCUCACGGCGCA